UAGAGUUUGAUCCUGGCUCAGGACGAACGCUGGCGGCGUGCUUAACACAUGCAAGUCGAACGGAGUUUAGAUGGAAGCUUGCGAAAUCUAAACUUAGUGGCGAACGGGUGAGUAACGCGUGGAUAACCUGCCCAAGAGACUGGGAUAACGCCGGGAAACUGGUGCUAAUACCGGAUAUACUCUUAAAGGCGCAUGCCUUUUAAGAGGAAAAGGGAAACCUGCUCAUGGAUGGAUCCGCGUCCCAUUAGCUUGUUGGCGGUGUAACGGACCACCAAGGCGACGAUGGGUAGCCGGCCUGAGAGGGCGACCGGCCACACUGGGACUGAGACACGGCCCAGACUCCUACGGGAGGCAGCAGUGGGGAAUCUUCCGCAAUGGGCGAAAGCCUGACGGAGCAACGCCGCGUGAGUGAAGAAGGCCUUCGGGUCGUAAAGCUCUGUGACCAGGGAAGAAAAAAAUGACGGUACCUGGAGAGGAAGCCCCGGCUAACUACGUGCCAGCAGCCGCGGUAAAACGUAGGGGGCAAGCGUUGUCCGGAAUUACUGGGCGUAAAGGGCGUGUAGGUGGCCCGUGAAGUCGAGAGUGAAAACCGAGGGCUUAACCUUCGGCCUGCUUUCGAAACCAGCGGGCUUGAGUGCAGUAGAGGGAAGUGGAAUUCCCAGUGUAGCGGUGAAAUGCGUAGAUAUUGGGAGGAACACCAGUGGCGAAAGCGGCUUCCUGGCCUGCAACUGACACUGAGGCGCGAAAGCGUGGGGAGCAAACAGGAUUAGAUACCCUGGUAGUCCACGCCGUAAACGAUGGGUGCUAAGUGGUUGGGGGUAUCGACCCCCCCAGUGCUGUAGUUAACGCAAUAAGCACCCCGCCUGG
Molecule: ribosomal RNA, 867 nt
Filed under: uncultured bacterium
Lineage: Bacteria
Description: bacterial SSU rRNA
Rfam family: Bacterial small subunit ribosomal RNA
Source: RNAcentral